RNAcentral lists this ribosomal RNA (225 nucleotides) under uncultured bacterium. Its description in RNAcentral is "partial 16S ribosomal RNA". It matches the Rfam family "Bacterial small subunit ribosomal RNA", at positions 524 to 749 of the family's 1533-position model. The record is from RNAcentral.
UACGUAGGGUGCAAGCGUUUAAUCGGAAUUACUGGGCGUAAAGCGUGCGCAGGCGGUUUUGUAAGUCUGACGUGAAAUCCCCGGGCUCAACCUGGGAAUUGCGUUGGAGACUGCAAGGCUAGAAUCUGGCAGAGGGGGUAGAAUUCCACGUGUAGCAGUGAAAUGCGUAGAGAUGUGGAGGAACACGAUGGCGAAGGCCAGCCCCUGGGUCAAGAUUGACGCUCA